GGGAUCCUACGGGAGGCAGCAGUGGGGAAUAUUGCACAAUGGGGGAAACCCUGAUGCAGCGACGCCGCGUGAGUGAAGAAGUAGUUCGGUAUGUAAAUCUCUAUCAGCAGGGAAGAAGAAAGACGGUACCUGACUAAGAAGCCCCGGCUAACUACGUGCCAGCAGCCGCGGUAAUACGUAGGGGGCAAGCGUUAUCCGGAUUUACUGGGUGUAAAGGGAGCGUAGACGGCUAAUCAAGUCAGAAGUGAAAACCCAGGGCUCAACCUUGGGAGUGCUUUUGAAACUGAGUAGCUAGAGUGCAGGAG
RNAcentral lists this ribosomal RNA (305 nucleotides) under uncultured bacterium. RNAcentral describes it as "bacterial SSU rRNA". It matches the Rfam family "Bacterial small subunit ribosomal RNA", at positions 333 to 654 of the family's 1533-position model. The record is from RNAcentral.